This 564-nucleotide small RNA is filed under the name Arabidopsis thaliana (thale cress). RNAcentral's name for it is "ATSL266940". Lineage: Eukaryota; Viridiplantae; Streptophyta; Magnoliopsida; Brassicales; Brassicaceae. The record is from RNAcentral.
UUCUUAAAACUUGGAUUGUGUAGCACAAGUCCGUAUGAGUCGUUUGAUUUGUAUCUUCUAACAAGGAAACACUACUUAGACUUUUAAGAUCCGAUUGCGGUUUAAGUUCUUAUACUUAAUCAUACACAUGACAUCAAGUCAUAUUUGAAUCCUAGAAACUAACCAAGCUUCUUCUUGCUUCUCAAAGCUUUGAUUGUGUAGCCGUAGUGCGUAUGAGUCUUUGGCUUUGUGUCUUCUAACAAGGAUACAAGGCUUUUAAGAUCCGGUUGCGGUUCUAGUUGUUAUACUCAAUGAUAAACAUGACAUCAAGUCAUAUUUGACUCCAAAACACUAACCAAGCUUCUUCUUGCUUCUCAAAGCUUUGUUGGUGUAGUCGUGGUCUAUAUGAGUCUUUGUCUUUGUAUCUUCUCACAAGGAAACAAUUCUUAGGCAUUUAAGAUCCGGUUGCGAUUCUAGUUCUUAUACUCAAUGAUACAAAUGACAUCAAGUCAUAUUUGACUCCAAAACACUAACCAAGUUUUUCUUGCUUCUCAAACAAACCUUUGAUGGUGUAGCUGAAGUCCG